GGUUCUUGCGAUCUAAACACCAUGUUAUGGAGAACGCUCUAAUUGGCUUAUUUAUUUUUCAUUUUUGUAAUCUAUCGUACGAUUGGUUGUAUUUGUGCAUGUUUCAAACCGGAAGUCUUAUCCAUGACUAAAAUUUAGUCUGAUGACGGAAUCAUAUCCGGACUCCUUUUUUGUCGUUUUUCUCCCAAAAUAACUCAAUCUGAAUAAUCCUAAGAAUGGAU
Molecule: long non-coding RNA, 221 nt
Filed under: Mytilus galloprovincialis (Mediterranean mussel)
Lineage: Eukaryota; Metazoa; Mollusca; Bivalvia; Mytilida; Mytilidae
Source: RNAcentral